This 85-nucleotide transfer RNA is filed under the name Felis catus (domestic cat). It matches the Rfam family "tRNA". From Rfam's summary of the family: Transfer RNA (tRNA) molecules are approximately 80 nucleotides in length. Their secondary structure includes four short double-helical elements and three loops (D, anti-codon, and T loops). Lineage: Eukaryota; Metazoa; Chordata; Mammalia; Carnivora; Felidae. RNAcentral also lists the same sequence under 4 other names. The record is from Rfam by way of RNAcentral.
GCCUGGGUGGCUCAGUCAGUUAAGCGUCUGACUUUAACUCAGGUUAUGAUCUUAUGGUUCGUGGAUUUGAACCCCACAUCAGGCU